This 476-nucleotide ribosomal RNA is filed under the name Candidatus Scalindua brodae. RNAcentral describes it as "bacterial SSU rRNA". It matches the Rfam family "Bacterial small subunit ribosomal RNA", at positions 365 to 832 of the family's 1533-position model. The record is from RNAcentral. RNAcentral also lists the same sequence under 1 other name. Lineage: Bacteria; Pseudomonadati; Planctomycetota; Candidatus Brocadiia; Candidatus Brocadiales; Candidatus Scalinduaceae.
UUCGCAAUGCCCGAAAGGGUGACGAAGCGACGCCGCGUGGGUGAGGAAGGCCUUCGGGUUGUAAAACCCUGUCAGGAGUUAUGAAAUGUGAGUGCGCUAAUAUCGUGCUUAUUUGACAAAGGCUCCAAAGGAAGCCACGGCUAACUCUGUGCCAGCAGCCGCGGUAAUACAGAGGUGGCGAGCGUUGUUCGGAAUUAUUGGGCGUAAAGAGCACGUAGGUGGUUUUGUAAGUCAGGUGUGAAAGCCUUCUGUUCAAAGGAAGAACGGCAUCUGAAACUGCAGAUCUUGAGUGUAGGAGGGGAGAGUGGAACUUCUGGUGGAGCGGUGAAAUGCGUAGAUAUCAGAAGGAACGUCGGCGGCGAAAGCGACUCUCUGGCCUAUUACUGACACUGAGGUGCGAAAGUUAGGGGAGCAAACGGGAUUAGAUACCCCGGUAGUCCUAACCGUAAACGAUGGGCACUAAGUAGAGGGGUUUU